This 115-nucleotide ribosomal RNA is filed under the name Microcebus murinus (gray mouse lemur). Lineage: Eukaryota; Metazoa; Chordata; Mammalia; Primates; Cheirogaleidae. The record is from RNAcentral.
GUCUGUGGCCACACCACCCUCAACAUGCCAGAAAUCUCUGAUCUCAGAAGCUAAGCAGGGUUGGGCCUGGUUAGUACUUGGACGGGAGAAAAAGUCAACAAAUAGCCUUCAGUCA